RNAcentral lists this transfer-messenger RNA (127 nucleotides) under Aquabacterium sp. RNAcentral's name for it is "partial transfer-messenger RNA". It matches the Rfam family "transfer-messenger RNA", at positions 247 to 374 of the family's 374-position model. Rfam says of the family: Bacterial tmRNA, also known as 10Sa RNA or SsrA, is named for its dual tRNA and mRNA-like properties. Its role is to liberate the mRNA from a stalled ribosome. To accomplish this part of the tmRNA is used as a reading frame that ends in a translation stop signal. Lineage: Bacteria; Pseudomonadati; Pseudomonadota; Betaproteobacteria; Burkholderiales; Sphaerotilaceae. The record is from RNAcentral.
UGACUGGCUGGCUUGGUAGCGUGCUGCUGCGCGAUCAGGUUGGCGAGACUCAAAUCAGACAGCUACACAUGUAGAACUGCUCGAUGAUGGCUUACGGACGGGGGUUCAAUUCCCCCCGGCUCCACCA